RNAcentral lists this ribosomal RNA (260 nucleotides) under uncultured archaeon. RNAcentral describes it as "partial 16S ribosomal RNA". It matches the Rfam family "Archaeal small subunit ribosomal RNA", at positions 748 to 1008 of the family's 1478-position model. The record is from RNAcentral.
AGGGUGUAAACGCUGCAGACUUGGUGUUGGAAGUCCUUUGGGGGCAUUCAGUGCCGGAGAGAAGUUGUUAAGUCUGCUACUUGGGGAGUACGUCCGCAAGGAUGAAACUUAAAGGAAUUGGCGGGGGAGCACCGCAACGGGAGGAGCGUGCGGUUUAAUUGGAUUCAACACCGUAAACUUACCAGGGAAGACUGUUACAUGAAGGCCGAGAUGAAGACUCUGCUAGAUUUUCAGAGAGGUGGUGCAUGGCGUCAGUGACU